CUUUGAAACAUCCGCCGUGUGUAAAAAAAAAAUUAGAAAGGAAAGUCUGUCUAGAUCCAAAUCAACAAUUUCUUACACCGAUUCGAUCCAUCCAAAUUUUGUAGAUUAAUCGUGGGAGCCGAUACAGAGGUUGAUAAAACUGCACUUCAUUGUAUCAUACUUUUAACAUGAAAAGUUAAAGAAGAAUUGAAUCUUAAAAAAUUGAAAAGGAAAUUCGUAAUCAAGUGGAGAGAAUAUAGGAAGAAUACAAAGGAAUAAUAUUUAUAUAAUUUAAUAAUAUAUGGCAAUGGCAGGGUUGUAAAUAAGUUAGAACUUGAGGAAUUUUUUCAUAAAUGUUUAUGAAAAUGUAUAUAUAGAUAUGGUUAUAUAGUAGAUGGUUAUAAAGAGGA
Camelina sativa (false flax) is the source of this 389-nucleotide non-coding RNA. NCBI's taxonomy places the organism in Eukaryota, Viridiplantae, Streptophyta, Magnoliopsida, Brassicales, Brassicaceae. The record is from RefSeq and is a predicted model, not a curated record.